GGUGAAGAACGUAGCGAAAUGCGAUACGUAAUGUGAAUUGCAGAAUUCAGUGAAUCAUCGAAUCUUUGAACGCACAUUGCGCCUGCCAGCACUCUGGCAGGCAUGCCUGUUCGAGCGUCAUUUCAACCAUCAAGCCCUAGGCUUGCGUUGGAGCCCUGCGGCUGCCGCAGGCCCCUAAAAGCAGUGGCGGGCUCGCUAUCACACCGAGUGCAGUAGAUUACUCUUCGCUCAGGGCGUGUGGCGGGUUCCAGCCGUGAAACCCCCUACUUCUCAAGGUUGACCUCGGAUCAGGUAGUAAUACCCGCUGAACUUAAGCAUAUCAAUAAGCGGAGGA
This 334-nucleotide unclassified non-coding RNA is filed under the name soil metagenome. RNAcentral describes it as "partial contains 5.8S ribosomal RNA, internal transcribed spacer 2, and large subunit ribosomal RNA". The stretch from base 3 to 120 matches the Rfam family "5.8S ribosomal RNA", at positions 37 to 154 of the family's 154-position model. The record is from RNAcentral.